CCCGCUGAACUUAAGCAUAUCAAUAAGCGAAGGAAAAGAAACCAACAGGGAUUGCCUCAGUAACGGCGAGUGAAGCGGCAACAGCUCAAAUUUGAAAUCUGGCUCUUUUAGGGCCCGAGUUGUAAUUUGUAGAGGAUGCUUCGGCGUCGGCUCCGGUCUAAGUUCCUUGGAACAGGACGUCAUAGAGGGUGAGAAUCCCGUAUGUGAUCGGUUGCCUUUGCCAUGUGAAGCCCCUUCGACGAGUCGAGUUGUUUGGGAAUGCAGCUCUAAAUGGGAGGUAAAUUUCUUCUAAAGCUAAAUACUGGCCAGAGACCGAUAGCGCACAAGUAGAGUGAUCGAAAGAUGAAAAGCACUUUGGAAAGAGAGUUAAACAGUACGUGAAAUUGCUGAAAGGGAAACGCUUGAAGUCAGUCGCGUCUGCCAGGACUCAGCCUUGCUUCUGCUUGGUGCACUUUCUGGUUUGAUGGGCCAACAUCAAUUUCGACCGUUGGAGAAAGGCUUUGGGAAUGUGGCACCUUUGGGUGUGUUAUAGCCCUUUGUCAUAUACGGCGGUUGGGAUUGAGGACCGCAGCACGCCUUCAUGGCCGGGGUUCGCCCACGUACGUGCUUAGGAUGUUGGCAUAAUGGCUUUAAGCGACCCGUCUUGAAACACGG
Molecule: ribosomal RNA, 654 nt
Filed under: uncultured fungus
Lineage: Eukaryota; Fungi
Description: eukaryotic LSU rRNA
Rfam family: Eukaryotic large subunit ribosomal RNA
Source: RNAcentral